CAUGCCGCGUGCAGGAUGACGGUCCUAUGGAUUGUAAACUGCUUUUGUACAGGAAGAAACACCUCUACGUGUAGAGACUUGACGGUACUGUAAGAAUAAGGAUCGGCUAACUCCGUGCCAGCAGCCGCGGUAAUACGGAGGAUCCAAGCGCUAUCCGGAAUCAUUGGGUUUAAAGGGUCCGUAGGCGGUCUUAUAAGUCAGUGGUGAAAUCUCCCCGCUCAACGGGGAAACGGCCAUUGAUACUGUAAGACUUGAAUUAUUAGGAAGUAACUAGAAUAUGUAGUGUAGCGGUGAAAUGCUUAGAGAUUACAUGGGAUACCAAUUGCGAAGGCAGGUUACUACUAAUGGAUUGACGCUGAUGGACGAAAGCGUGGGUAGCGAACAGGAUUAGAUACCCUGGUAGUCCACGCCGUAAACGAUGGAUACUAGCUGUUGGGCGCAAGUUCAGUGGCUAAGCGAAAGUGAUAAGUAUCCCACCUGGGGAGUACGUUCGCAAGAAUGAAACUCAAAGGAAUUGACGGGGGCCCGCACAAGCGGUGGAGCAUGUGGUUUAAUUCGAUGAUACGCGAGGAACCUUACCAAGGCUUAAAUGUAGAUUGACCGGUUUGGAAACAGACUUUUCGCAAGACAAUUUACUAGGUGCUGCAUGGUUGUCGUCAGCUCGUGCCGUGAGGUGUCAGGUUAAGUCCUAUAACGAGCGCAACCCCUGUUGUUAGUUGCCAGCGAGUCAUGUCGGGAACUCUAACGAGACUGCCAGUGCAAACUGAGAGGAAGGUGGGGAUGACGUCAAAUCAUCACGGCCCUUACGCCUUGGGCUACACACGUGCUACAAUGGCCGGUACAGAGAGCAGCCACUGGGUGACCAGGAGCGAAUCUACAAAACCGGUCACAGUUCGGAUCGGAGUCUGCAACUCGACUCCCGUGAAGCUGGAAUCGCUAGUAAUCGGAUAUCAGCCAUGA
RNAcentral lists this ribosomal RNA (960 nucleotides) under uncultured Flavobacterium sp. Its description in RNAcentral is "bacterial SSU rRNA". It matches the Rfam family "Bacterial small subunit ribosomal RNA", at positions 393 to 1357 of the family's 1533-position model. The record is from RNAcentral. Lineage: Bacteria; Pseudomonadati; Bacteroidota; Flavobacteriia; Flavobacteriales; Flavobacteriaceae.